This 28-nucleotide small RNA is filed under the name Bombyx mori (domestic silkworm). Its description in RNAcentral is "ovarian small RNA-30421". The record is from RNAcentral. Lineage: Eukaryota; Metazoa; Arthropoda; Insecta; Lepidoptera; Bombycidae.
UGAAACCGAAGUGAUUCCACGAUCGUGC